This 481-nucleotide ribosomal RNA is filed under the name Streptococcus sp. oral taxon 066. Its description in RNAcentral is "bacterial SSU rRNA". It matches the Rfam family "Bacterial small subunit ribosomal RNA", at positions 28 to 493 of the family's 1533-position model. The record is from RNAcentral. Lineage: Bacteria; Bacillati; Bacillota; Bacilli; Lactobacillales; Streptococcaceae.
GAUGAACGCUGGCGGCGUGCCUAAUACAUGCAAGUAGAACGCUGAAGCUUGGUGCUUGCACCGAGCGGAUGAGUUGCGAACGGGUGAGUAACGCGUAGGUAACCUGCCUGGUAGCGGGGGAUAACUAUUGGAAACGAUAGCUAAUACCGCAUAACAGUAGAUAUUGCAUGAUAUCUGCUUGAAAGGGGCAAUUGCUCCACUACCAGAUGGACCUGCGUUGUAUUAGCUAGUUGGUGAGGUAACGGCUCACCAAGGCGACGAUACAUAGCCGACCUGAGAGGGUGAUCGGCCACACUGGGACUGAGACACGGCCCAGACUCCUACGGGAGGCAGCAGUAGGGAAUCUUCGGCAAUGGACGGAAGUCUGACCGAGCAACGCCGCGUGAGUGAAGAAGGUUUUCGGAUCGUAAAGCUCUGUUGUAAGAGAAGAACGAGUGUGAGAGUGGAAAGUUCACACUGUGACGGAACUACCAGAAAGGCG